This 105-nucleotide small RNA is filed under the name Marmota monax (woodchuck). Lineage: Eukaryota; Metazoa; Chordata; Mammalia; Rodentia; Sciuridae. The record is from RNAcentral.
GCCAGGUGUGGUGGUGCAUGCCUGUAGUCCUACCUACUUAGGAGGCUGAGGCAGGAAGAUCUAAUUUGAGAUCAGCCUUGGCAACUUAGUGAGACCCUAUCUCAA